This 825-nucleotide ribosomal RNA is filed under the name Salmonella enterica subsp. enterica serovar Newport. Its description in RNAcentral is "partial 23S ribosomal RNA". It matches the Rfam family "Bacterial large subunit ribosomal RNA", at positions 1 to 867 of the family's 2925-position model. Lineage: Bacteria; Pseudomonadati; Pseudomonadota; Gammaproteobacteria; Enterobacterales; Enterobacteriaceae. The record is from RNAcentral.
GUUAAGCGACUAAGCGUACACGGUGGAUGCCCUGGCAGUCAGAGGCGAUGAAGGGCGUGCUAAUCUGCGAUAAGCGCCGGUAAGGUGAUAUGAACCGUUAUAACCGGCGAUACCCGAAUGGGGAAACCCAGUGUGACUCGUCACACUAUCAUUAACUGAAUCCAUAGGUUAAUGAGGCGAACCGGGGGAACUGAAACAUCUAAGUACCCCGAGGAAAAGAAAUCAACCGAGAUUCCCCCAGUAGCGGCGAGCGAACGGGGAGGAGCCCAGAGCCUGAAUCAGCAUGUGUGUUAGUGGAAGCGUCUGGAAAGGCGCGCGAUACAGGGUGACAGCCCCGUACACAAAAGCGCAUGUGCUGUGAGCUCGAUGAGUAGGGCGGGACACGUGGUAUCCUGUCUGAAUAUGGGGGGACCAUCCUCCAAGGCUAAAUACUCCUGACUGACCGAUAGUGAACCAGUACCGUGAGGGAAAGGCGAAAAGAACCCCGGCGAGGGGAGUGAAAAAGAACCUGAAACCGUGUACGUACAAGCAGUGGGAGCACAGGUUUACCUGUGUGACUGCGUACCUUUUGUAUAAUGGGUCAGCGACUUAUAUUCUGUAGCAAGGUUAACCGAAUAGGGGAGCCGGAGGGAAACCGAGUCUUAAUUGGGCGUUAAGUUGCAGGGUAUAGACCCGAAACCCGGUGAUCUAGCCAUGGGCAGGUUGAAGGUUGGGUAACACUAACUGGAGGACCGAACCGACUAAUGUUGAAAAAUUAGCGGAUGACCUGUGGCUGGGGGUGAAAGGCCAAUCAAACCGGGAGAUAGCUGGUUCUCCCCGAAAGCU